GACGAACGCUGGCGGCGUGCUUAACACAUGCAAGUCGAACGAAAAGAGGGGAAGUGCUUGCUCUUUCCGGGAUUGAGUGGCAAACGGGUGAGUAACACGUAAACAACCUGCCUUCAGGAUGGGGACAACAGACGGAAACGACUGCGAAUACCGAAUAAGUGCCAAGGGCGGCAGGGCCCGUGGUGGAAAAGGUGGCCUCUACGUGUAAGCUAUCGCCUGCAGAGGGGUUGGCGUCUGAUUGGCUGGUUGGCGGGGUAACGGCCCACCAAAGGGACGACCGGUAACCGGUCCGAGAGGAUGGACGGCCACCCUGGCACUGGGACCCGGUCCAGACCCCUGAGGGAGGCAGCAGUGGGGAAUCGUCCGUAAUGGGCGAAGGCCUGACGGCGCAACGCCGCGCGAGUGAUGACGGCCUUCGGGUUGUGAAACUCUGUCUUCCGGGACGAAAAGGCAGAGUGCGAAGAACAAACUGCAUUGACGGUACCGGAAAAGCAAGCCACGGCUAACUACGUG
Molecule: ribosomal RNA, 513 nt
Filed under: uncultured bacterium
Lineage: Bacteria
Description: partial 16S ribosomal RNA
Rfam family: Bacterial small subunit ribosomal RNA
Source: RNAcentral